UACGAAGGGUGCAAGCGUUAAUCGGAAUUACUGGGCGUAAAGCGCGCGUAGGUGGUUCAGCAAGUUGGAUGUGAAAGCCCCGGGCUCAACCUGGGAACUGCAUCCAAAACUACUGAGCUAGAGUACGGUAGAGGGUGGUGGAAUUUCCUGUGUAGCGGUGAAAUGCGUAGAUAUAGGAAGGAACACCAGUGGCGAAGGCGACCACCUGGACUGAUACUGACACUGAGGUGCGAAAGCGUGGGGAGCAAACAGG
Molecule: ribosomal RNA, 253 nt
Filed under: Pseudomonas sp.
Lineage: Bacteria; Pseudomonadati; Pseudomonadota; Gammaproteobacteria; Pseudomonadales; Pseudomonadaceae
Also listed under: 1 other name
Description: partial 16S ribosomal RNA
Rfam family: Bacterial small subunit ribosomal RNA
Source: RNAcentral